Molecule: ribosomal RNA, 484 nt
Filed under: uncultured bacterium
Lineage: Bacteria
Description: partial 16S ribosomal RNA
Rfam family: Bacterial small subunit ribosomal RNA
Source: RNAcentral
AUUGAACGCUGGCGGCAGGCCUAACACAUGCAAGUCGAGCGGAUGAAGGGAGCUUGCUCCUGGAUUCAGCGGCGGACGGGUGAGUAAUGCCUAGGAAUCUGCCUGGUAGUGGGGGAUAACGUCCGGAAACGGGCGCUAAUACCGCAUACGUCCUGAGGGAGAAAGUGGGGGAUCUUCGGACCUCACGCUAUCAGAUGAUCCUAGGUCGGAUUAGCUAGUUGGUGGGGUAAAGGCCUACCAAGGCGACGAUCCGUAACUGGUCUGAGAGGAUGAUCAGUCACACUGGAACUGAGACACGGUCCAGACUCCUACGGGAGGCAGCAGUGGGGAAUAUUGGACAAUGGGCGAAAGCCUGAUCCAGCCAUGCCGCGUGUGUGAAGAAGGUCUUCGGAUUGUAAAGCACUUUAAGUUGGGAGGAAGGGCAGUAAGUGAAUACCUUGCUGUUUUGACGUUACCAACAGAAUAAGCACCGGCUAACUUCGUG